This 497-nucleotide ribosomal RNA is filed under the name uncultured bacterium. Its description in RNAcentral is "partial 16S ribosomal RNA". It matches the Rfam family "Bacterial small subunit ribosomal RNA", at positions 28 to 507 of the family's 1533-position model. The record is from RNAcentral.
GAUGAACGCUGGCGGCGUGCCUAAUACAUGCAAGUCGAGCGAACAGACGAGGAGCUUGCUCCUCUGAUGUUAGCGGCGGACGGGUGAGUAACACGUGGAUAACCUACCUAUAAGACUGGGAUAACUUCGGGAAACCGGAGCUAAUACCGGAUAACAUGUUGAACCGCAUGGUUCAACAGUGAAAGACGGUCUUGCUGUCACUUAUAGAUGGAUCCGCGCCGCAUUAGCUAGUUGGUAAGGUAACGGCUUACCAAGGCAACGAUGCGUAGCCGACCUGAGAGGGUGAUCGGCCACACUGGAACUGAGACACGGUCCAGACUCCUACGGGAGGCCGCAGUAGGGAAUCUUCCGCAAAGGGCGAAAGCCUGACGGAGCAACGCCGCGUGAGUGAAGAAGGUCUUCGGAUCGUAAAACUCUGUUAUUAGGGAAGAACAAAUGUGUAAGUAACUAUGCACGUCUUGACGGUACCUAAUCAGAAAGCCCCGGCUAACUACGUG